CGGCCGGUUCGCCCCGAGCCGCGGCGGCGGCGCCCGAGGCCGCCCGAAUUCGGCCGGAAGUUGGAAGCCGUCGCCUGCGCGCACGCGAGACGAGGAGGGAGAGGGGGGGAGAGAGGGGCGCGUCGGAGCUUUGUACUUUCCGCCCGUCUCAUCGGGAAUUCCUGCCGGAAUCGCACACUGCCGCCAUGGCCGAUCCUUUAUCCGCUCGUGCACGUACUUUGUACGUAUGCACGUGCGGCGCACGAGUGUAGAAUGUGUAGAUGCCGAUGAGCAGGUAUGCGCGCAUGUGUGUACGGCUCAUACGAGGGCGUGUGCGUGAAUCCGCACGGGCCACCGACCGCGGCUCGACCGAAAUUUUCUUCGCAAUUGGCGUUAAAGAUCGUUGCUGGCCGGUCAUGGACAAAGCCGUGGAUGAAAUUUCGGCUGGACGGAAGUGUAAAUGAGAAAAGGGCGGCUGGGAUCGAAAAGGGGGGAGAUUUUAUCGGGGAGAAAGAGGGGGGGGAGACAUGAAAGGACACGCUGCUGCAUUUUUUCGCUGCGGAAUUGAAAGGGAUAAAAAGUUGACGCCUCUCGUGCCUCUCUCGAUUAUUCGCUUCACACGUGAUUCCAAUAAAAAUUUAAAUUGACAUGAAGAAAAUGCGACGGAAUGCUUCGUCAAGGACCAGAGAAUCAUUCUAUGCUCGUCUGGUCAAUUUUAUGCGUUCGUCGGCCAGUCUCGAGAAUCAUCGCUGCAGUCACGUGUAAUUUUAGACGAAAAUUUCGAGAAAACGAGCGCGAUUUUCGCGAACGCUCCUCGCUCUUCGGGGAUCCUCCACCAAACUUCCCGAAUUAGAAAUGCGGAGGAGACGAGACAAAUAUAGAGGGUGUCCCAGAUUCAUCGCAGUUCCUUUCACGUGCUAUUCACGAUCGGUUCUUCGAGCGGCUCCCAUAUUAGGUACAUAAAUCAGCGCCUGCUUUCUUCAAGUGUGGUCUGCGAGCCGUCUUUUACGUAACCGCGGAUCGGCAUCUCGAUCUAUUUCUCGAUUCGACGUAGCGAUCGUCUCACGCAUAAGCCAUAGACAUCCCAGCGCCACCUUCGUGUCCUGCAAAUUCUAACGUCUGCGAGGGCAGCGCGCAAACACGUUUUCGCAAUCGAUAUUAUCCCGGGUUGAAAGGACGAGGAUACGCAAAAAGGAUUCUCCUCUGAUCGGGGAACCGAGAGAAGGAGAGGUACAAGAGACAAAGUCGAAUGCAAAUGCGACUAAUAAUAUGCGAGAAACGUUAUAAAGGCACUCGACGUCAAAGGGUACGGGGGCGGGUACUUUAAGCGGCUGCAUUUAGAACCAAGAACGUCGGUCCCUCUCCCCUCUUCCUCCCCCUCUCUCCCUCUUCCCUCCUUUUUUUCUCCGUCUCGCUCCGGCAGAGUCGCAUCGAGCCGUCCGUUAACAAGACGGCCGAUAAACUCUUGACGAUUUUAGUUAUGCAUCCUGGCGAGUGCCCGGGCACAAAGAAGAUUCUCUCGAUUCCGGUCGCUACUCGGCUCCACUCGGCCCUAACAAGAUAUCCGACCUCUUGGUUUAUUUGCACGCGGAGAGCGGAGAAUUACCGGGGCGAUCAAAUAAAUUCAGCCGCCCUUCCCGCGGAGGUUCUGCGCUUCGAAACUGCUUAGCGCACAAGUUGGAGUUGAAAAUUGUUUAAUUAUCGUGAAAUCGAUGACGGAUGCGGAAUCUGUGGCUGACGAUACAUCCGCAGCUUUCUCGUUUCUCUCUUUCCUCGGCGUAUUCUUAUAUUUGACUACAUGGAUGAUACGAUAAAAGCUAUCGGAAAGCGCUUUACGUGCUUGCGUGACACGAGCAGAGAUUUUCAAAGUCAGUUAAAAGACACGUCAAUGACUUGUGAAAGAUAGCACAGAACACACGACAGCUAUGAUAAUGCAUGUCACUCACUUAUCUUUCUCUAACCCUCUCCUGCGGACAUUUAGAGUCUCCUUAUACAAAUAUUGAACCUUUCUCGAGAAAGAAAUAUAAAAAGAAAUGUGAAAAUUUCUCUUGCGAACGGGCGGUUAAUGAAUCAGCAUUAAAGAUAAACUUUAAUUUCGUCAAAUAAAAAAGUCGACUUUGAACAUUUCAAGAGGGAAUGAUGUAUAUUGUUUAGUCUUAUAUGGUUCAAUAUUUUUUGAGGGAAAAAAAUGAUGAGUCGCACAACCGAAUGAAAAAAAAGCCACGAGGAAAUUUCCCAACAGCCGGUAGAUGCUCCAGGGAAAUCAAAAGUCUGCGGAUGUGAUCGAUACGAAAAUUUGACCAAUAAAAAACGUACGACGGAGCUUUACGAAUUUCGUCCGAUAUCGUCACGCGGCGCAUACGAUGCGUUUUUGUUUCGUGAUCAGAGCCAUUUCGAAUCGCGGAAGAUUGAUAGUAUUUAAUGGGUUCAAACAGCUGCAACGGCGCGAAAUUAAAUUCCCGGCCGUAUCGCUCGUUAACAGGAAUUUAAUGGCGAUCCGUCGAAUAUGUAUAUACAGAAUUAUUCAUUGCGCGACGAUAUGAAAUUGGAAGAGAUAGAGUAAGAAAUAGAUAGAUAGAUAGAUAGAUAGAGAGAGAGAAUCAGAGGCGGCAGAUCGAGUCUUGCACGUAAUUUCAUUCGAGAGCCAACUAAAUCUUGUAAUUUGAGACCAGGUAGCAUCGUUUAACGUGUAUGAACUACGGCGGCAGAGAUGCAGAGAUGUCAAGUGGAGAGGGCGAAAGGACUCUACGUGGACAGUUGACAGGAAGCAAAAGGAAUGUAGGAAGAGAGACGGAGGAAGAAGGAAAAGAUAGAAGAUGGAACAGACUGGCAGAGAAGAUAAGAUGCGACUACGAGAGUGGAGAGAUGAGAUAAGACAAGACAUGGUUGUAUACCAAAGAUGUGUCAUAGAGGUAGAGAGACAGAGAAAGAGAGAAAUAGGAACGGAAUAGGGACGAGAAAGGAGAAGGGGAGAGAGAGAUUAGGAUUCUUGAGCCAACGAACAAACGAAUAGUUCGUCUACUAUCGCUUUUAUCGUCGAGAUUUGCUUACUGUCGUACAACUCGUUUGCCAUCGCGUCAUGCUCUCGAUGUCCAGUGCGAUUAUUAUCGCAUUGACAUCACCCAUUAUACAUUAUGCUCGCAAACGUCACAGUACAUUCGCAAUGGUUGUCUCGCGUCUUCCUACAUAAAAAUUAUUAAAAGAAUCACAUCCUAUUUAUAUUCCCAUCUCUCCUUCCUUCUUCUUUACUUAAGAACGUAGAUGAAACGUGAAUGAAAAAAAUUUCUAGAAAGAGAAAGACAUAGAGGGGAAAGAAAUUUAGGGAUGCAGGUCCAUCAUCCUGCUGAGAUGAAACGCAUGAUAAUUUGAUACGAGAAGAGAUAUUACGCGCGCGGCGAAUCCGUGAAACUGUUUAUAUUAAGCUUCGAUAUCAGAAGUGGCGGAGAGCAGAUAUAUCCACUAUUCUACCACGAAUGAUUGAGCAAUUGCAUCGGGAAACACACUGUAGCGUACGUGCUCUAUCUGCUUUCAUAGACUUUGCGGUUGCAGAUAUAGGAAGUGAAAUCAAGUGUCGCGAGAAGCUAGGAUAAUAUUAGUACCAAGUCCUUAUCAGUGAAUAACGAGAGAUGUAAGCGACCGGUUCUCUAACAAGCCCAUUGAAAAUACCGGAGAUGUUACUCUCUGAUUCUAUCCCCAUCUCCUUCUCUUUCUCUCUCUUUCUCUCUCUUAUAAAUGCGCGCUAUUUAUACAUCCGUAUAUAAGUGUGCCGACACACACCGUAUGCCUGAAAUUUUAAUGCCGAGAAAUACAUUCGUCGACUCGUAUACGCCGAGCUAUAUCCGACCUAGAACUAUAUCGCGCGUAUCGCGACCGAGGGCAAGAGAAGGGUGAGAUGCAGUGGAAUAGUUGUAUGGUGUUCACAGAAUAUGAUAACAAAUAUAUGAAACAUCAGGCUGAUA
Camponotus floridanus (Florida carpenter ant) is the source of this 3938-nucleotide long non-coding RNA. RefSeq lists it as uncharacterized. The transcript has 4 exons. Lineage: Eukaryota; Metazoa; Arthropoda; Insecta; Hymenoptera; Formicidae. The record is from RefSeq and is a predicted model, not a curated record.